CUUAGUGGCGGACGGGUGAGUAACGCGUGGGGAACCUGCCCUGUACAGGGGGAUAACACUUAGAAAUAGGUGCUAAUACCGCAUAAGCGCACAGUAUCGCAUGAUACAGUGUGAAAAACUCCGGUGGUACAGGAUGGACCCGCGUCUGAUUAGCUGGUUGGCGGGGUAACGGCCCACCAAGGCGACGAUCAGUAACCGGCCUGAGAGGGUGAACGGCCACAUUGGGACUGAGACACGGCCCAAACUCCUACGGGAGGCAGCAG
RNAcentral lists this ribosomal RNA (263 nucleotides) under uncultured bacterium. RNAcentral describes it as "partial 16S ribosomal RNA". It matches the Rfam family "Bacterial small subunit ribosomal RNA", at positions 91 to 354 of the family's 1533-position model. The record is from RNAcentral.